RNAcentral lists this transfer RNA (71 nucleotides) under Toxocara canis (dog roundworm). It matches the Rfam family "tRNA". Rfam says of the family: Transfer RNA (tRNA) molecules are approximately 80 nucleotides in length. Their secondary structure includes four short double-helical elements and three loops (D, anti-codon, and T loops). Further hydrogen bonds mediate the characteristic L-shaped molecular structure. tRNAs have two regions of fundamental functional importance: the anti-codon, which is responsible for specific mRNA codon recognition, and the 3' end, to which the tRNAs corresponding amino acid is attached (by aminoacyl-tRNA synthetases). tRNAs cope with the degeneracy of the genetic code in two manners: having more than one tRNA (with a specific anti-codon) for a particular amino acid; and 'wobble' base-pairing, i.e. permitting non-standard base-pairing at the 3rd anti-codon position. The record is from Rfam by way of RNAcentral. Lineage: Eukaryota; Metazoa; Nematoda; Chromadorea; Rhabditida; Toxocaridae.
GCGGCAGUAGCUCAGUGGUAGAGCCCCGCUUCGCAUGCGGGGAGACCUGGGUUCGAUUCCUGGCUGCUUCC